RNAcentral lists this unclassified non-coding RNA (397 nucleotides) under Apodocephala oliganthoides. RNAcentral describes it as "partial external transcribed spacer". Lineage: Eukaryota; Viridiplantae; Streptophyta; Magnoliopsida; Asterales; Asteraceae. The record is from RNAcentral.
CUUCUACCUGGCUUACCUUUUCAGUUGUGUGUUAAGGAGUCUAUUGCCUUUGCGCACUGUGGGUUUCCUGUGUUGCUUACCUAAGUGAAGGUAUUGUUUUGCCUGAUCAAAGUCCCUUUUCGUUUUGUGUUACACUCGUGGCAUGGGAUGAACCUUGAAGUGGUCUCAAUGAUCUACACCAUUGACGUGCGUGCGUUGAUGAUGUGGCCCAUUGAGCNUUGCUUGGUCUCGUGGAUACAGAACCUUAUGUUGGCUUGGGGUCUAUUUGGAUCCUUGUUUUGCCCUCAUUAAGCGUUCACGCUUCUAUAAACGACCGCACAUCACGCAUUGGUUUGUACCAGCGUGGUGGGCUAUGUCGAAGAGGAAUGCUACCUGGUUGAUCCUGCCAGUAGUCAUA